CCUACGGGAGGCUGCAGUGGGGAAUAUUGCACAAUGGGGGGAACCCUGAUGCAGCAACGCCGCGUGGGUGAAGAAGUACUCCGGUAUGUAAAGCCCUGUCAGCAGGGAAGAAAAUGACAGUACCUGACCAAGAAGCCCCGGCUAACUACGUGCCAGCAGCCGCGGUAAUACGUAGGGGGCAAGCGUUAUCCGGAUUUACUGGGUGUAAAGGGAGCGUAGACGGCAAGGCAAGUCUGGAGUGAAAGCCCGUGGCCCCACCACGGGACUGCUUUGGAAACUGUGUUGCUGGAGUGCAGGAGGGGCAGACGGAAUGCCUAGUGUAGCGGUGAAAUGCGUAGAUAUUAGGAGGAACACCAGUGGCGAAGGCGGUCUGCUGGACAGCAACUGACGCUGAGGCGCGAAAGCGUGGGGAGCAAACAGGAUUAGAUACCCGUGUAGUC
This 440-nucleotide ribosomal RNA is filed under the name uncultured bacterium. Its description in RNAcentral is "partial 16S ribosomal RNA". It matches the Rfam family "Bacterial small subunit ribosomal RNA", at positions 338 to 795 of the family's 1533-position model. The record is from RNAcentral.